RNAcentral lists this unclassified non-coding RNA (220 nucleotides) under Glomeraceae sp. RNAcentral describes it as "partial contains 5.8S ribosomal RNA and internal transcribed spacer 2". The stretch from base 1 to 72 matches the Rfam family "5.8S ribosomal RNA", at positions 84 to 154 of the family's 154-position model. Lineage: Eukaryota; Fungi; Glomeromycota; Glomeromycetes; Glomerales; Glomeraceae. The record is from RNAcentral.
GUGAAUCAUCAAAUUUUUGAACGCAAAUUGCACUCUCCGGUUUUCCGGGAGAGUAUGCCUGUUUGAGGGUCAGCCUAAAAAAAAUCGACAUUGUUGCUGUUAUUUAAUGGUGACUUUCGUCGGAGAUUGGGUUAUCUUAAACCUUUUUUUUUUGGGUUUAAGGGAUUUAAAUUUUUUUUUCAGGAUUCAUUGACGGUUUUAAGGUUUUUUUUUUUUUUAA